CAGGUGGCAUCGCCCUCUGACUCCCCCAGCUCCUCCUCCACCAACACCCCCAGCCCACCCUGUAUCAUCCUGCGCUGUCUGGCCCCCAGUGGGCAGCAUGUAGAGGAGGUAAAGUUACCAGAGCUAGCCUACACCUCCCUGUUCACCAUGGCCUGGCUCCACUCAGUCAACAGGGAACGGAGUGGAGCAGGAACGGAGACAGGGUCUGGGACAGGGCUUGGGACAGGGCUUGGGACAGGGCUUGGGACAGGGACAGGGUCUGGGACAGGGUCGGG
Molecule: long non-coding RNA, 275 nt
Organism: Oncorhynchus gorbuscha (pink salmon)
Lineage: Eukaryota; Metazoa; Chordata; Actinopteri; Salmoniformes; Salmonidae
Exons: 3
Source: RefSeq, a predicted model, not a curated record